This 479-nucleotide small RNA is filed under the name Pongo abelii (Sumatran orangutan). Its description in RNAcentral is "processed transcript". The record is from RNAcentral. Lineage: Eukaryota; Metazoa; Chordata; Mammalia; Primates; Hominidae.
ACACCCUGAGGUUCUGGAUGGAUAUGAAUUUUGGGGAGACACUAUUCAACCCAAUAUACUUUUUGCCUUUCUUCCUUAGAGCUCCAGCUAAUCCAGAUGCAACACUGACGAAUUAGUGCCGAAAUGAGUAUCAGCACUUGACCUGCAAAUCCAAGAGACACAUUUCUGGAAGAUAAGAGAGCUUCUUCAAGACCAAAAAAGGAGACGGCAUGAUACCCACGUAGGGAAUUCCCCAAAGCAAGGCUUGCCAAACCUGGACCCGAGGAGCCUGCUUGCUGGAAAGGCUUUCCUGUCUGAUGUGCAGGAGGCAGAAUGCCAAACUGACUCUUCAAGGGGCAACUGCAGGGGCUCGAGACCAGCCAGCAGUAUCUCAUCCUUCAAUACAGGGGAUAUACUAUACAGUCCUUUUUCUAGAAGUGAGAAGUACGAGAUUACUCUACAAGAGGAAGAUUCCAGGGGCUCAAAAACGCAAAGGUUUG